GUGGACGCGGAACCGCGUGCUUUGAUACCGGAUAUCACUCGCGAGUGUCAAAGCGCGGCUGACAAACGCGAUCGGCUCGACACGUUGCGUCAUUCUCGCGUUUUUUAAUUCCUUAAAAGUGUCGCGACUGUAUAAUGAGGCGCGACAUAUAUAAAUACGGGAGCGUGAAUUUACUCCGACGCAUUUGCAAGCUCGUGAACUGCAGUCGAAGACACUUUCAUAUACGCUUCCACUUGACUCCAGGAGUUGAUAGCCACUUAUACACAGAUUGAAACAGUAAUAAUUAUACAAGUCGGAUCUAAUCACGAUGUGAUCGCAGAUAGUGGAUCUCCUACUCACCUUAAGAAAUAGCAUCUUGAUAUUGACCAAGGAUAAUUAUCAGGAUAAUUGUCAUAUGUCCAAAGCGGUUGUGGAUCAGCGCUGGGUUGUGGUUCAGGAUCAGCGCUGGGAUUUGCUUCAGCAACAACUCCAUUAGACAUAAUCAAUCCCAGCAAAGCCAAAUUCAGGAACAAUUGGAGUAAAAAUGAAAUUAUCUUCAUGUUUUAUGAUUUAUAGUUAAAUAACUAUCACAAUAUUGCUAACUUCGAUUUGGAUUCUCCUGAACUAAACUGAAAAAAGAUCUACAUACCGACAGGUAUAUAUACCACCAAGAGAAUAUCUAUUAAAAUUCAUUAAGGUAUUGAUAAAUCCA
This is a long non-coding RNA of Formica exsecta, 691 nucleotides long. RefSeq lists it as uncharacterized. The transcript has 3 exons. The record is from RefSeq and is a predicted model, not a curated record. NCBI's taxonomy places the organism in Eukaryota, Metazoa, Arthropoda, Insecta, Hymenoptera, Formicidae.